Molecule: non-coding RNA, 210 nt
Filed under: Croceicoccus naphthovorans
Lineage: Bacteria; Pseudomonadati; Pseudomonadota; Alphaproteobacteria; Sphingomonadales; Erythrobacteraceae
Source: RNAcentral
AUCGACAGGCGCGUAACGGGUGCCCGCAAGGGCUUAAUCGGGAAGUCCGGCAGGGUGGUUCAGGUCAUCCGCAUCCGGCACUGCUCCCGCAACUGUGACUGGUGAGCGUUUCGCCAUUAUGCCAUUGGAAAGAAGCAUUUCUUUCCGAGAAGGCGGUGAUUUCGCGUUGAACCGGUAAGUCAGGAAACCGGCCCGUUGCCGUCGUUCUUC